UAGAUGUGUUUAAAUGCUUGCGGGUUGCCACUCGCAUCCUUCCCUCUUGCAAAAUAAAUGGACGUCCGAUCUCCAUUCCUUUCACUGCCUCGAGUUCCGCCGCCCACCCGCACCCCCAAGCUUGAUCUCUCCAUCUCCAGCGGAAAGAAGGUGCACGUGCCCUCCAAAUGACUCUCCCUCUCAACUAUCUUUGGUUCAUGUCACAAAGGCAACAAGAAAGCAGGUUUUCGCAAAAAAAAUUGUGUAGCAAAACUAACAUUAAAAAAAAAUUGCUACUUUCUUAGAUUCAUAAUAAGUGUGCUUUGGCGA
This 309-nucleotide long non-coding RNA is filed under the name Brachypodium distachyon (stiff brome). RNAcentral describes it as "long non-coding RNA (BDIS_LNC000997)". Lineage: Eukaryota; Viridiplantae; Streptophyta; Magnoliopsida; Poales; Poaceae. The record is from RNAcentral.